Molecule: ribosomal RNA, 333 nt
Filed under: Triticum aestivum (bread wheat)
Lineage: Eukaryota; Viridiplantae; Streptophyta; Magnoliopsida; Poales; Poaceae
Description: partial small subunit ribosomal RNA
Source: RNAcentral
AUGGUGCCCAACACAGGCAAAGGCAAAGGGGCGUCCAAGGACGUCGGGGAGAAAAAGGCGCCGGAGAGCGAGUUGGCGGUGUUGCAGAUGCAACACUCCUAUUUCCCCUCGACGGUCGAUGCGGUCCACCUAAGGGACUACUUCAAGCCCGUGUGGGGGAGGGAGACAACGGGGCACCCUGCUACACACAUCAUCCCUGCCAAUUUUGCCAAGGCCGGCCCAGAUUGGUUUGGUAUCCAACCCCCAUGUCGGAAAAUCAGUGAUGAAGUGACCGAAGCUUUUGCAUUUCUAACAUGGGAUUUCAAGAGGAGACAAACGUCCUGUUUGGGCUGA